AGAGUUUGAUCCUGGCUCAGGACGAACGCUGGCGGCGUGCCUAAUACAUGCAAGUCGAACGCUUCUUUUUCCACCGGAGCUUGCUCCACCGGAAAAAGAGGAGUGGCGAACGGGUGAGUAACACGUGGGUAACCUGCCCAUCAGAAGGGGAUAACACUUGGAAACAGGUGCUAAUACCGUAUAACAAUCGAAACCGCAUGGUUUUGAUUUGAAAGGCGCUUUCGGGUGUCGCUGAUGGAUGGACCCGCGGUGCAUUAGCUAGUUGGUGAGGUAACGGCUCACCAAGGCCACGAUGCAUAGCCGACCUGAGAGGGUGAUCGGCCACAUUGGGACUGAGACACGGCCCAAACUCCUACGGGAGGCAGCAGUAGGGAAUCUUCGGCAAUGGACGAAAGUCUGACCGAGCAACGCCGCGUGAGUGAAGAAGGUUUUCGGAUCGUAAAACUCUGUUGUUAGAGAAGAACAAGGAUGAGAGUAACUGUUCAUCCCUUGACGGUAUCUAACCAGAAAGCCACGGCUAACUACGUGCCAGCAGCCGCGGUAAUACGUAGGUGGCAAGCGUUGUCCGGAUUUAUUGGGCGUAAAGCGAGCGCACGCGGUUUCUUAAGUCUGAUGUGAAAGCCCCCGGCUCAACCGGGGAGGGUCAUUGGAAACUGGGAGACUUGAGUGCAGAAGAGGAGAGUGGAAUUCCAUGUGUAGCGGUGAAAUGCGUAGAUAUAUGGAGGACCACCAGUGCCGAAAGGCGGCUUCUCUGGUCUGUAACUGACGCUGAGGCUCGAAAGC
RNAcentral lists this ribosomal RNA (783 nucleotides) under uncultured bacterium. RNAcentral describes it as "bacterial SSU rRNA". It matches the Rfam family "Bacterial small subunit ribosomal RNA", at positions 8 to 760 of the family's 1533-position model. The record is from RNAcentral.